This 336-nucleotide unclassified non-coding RNA is filed under the name soil metagenome. RNAcentral describes it as "partial contains 5.8S ribosomal RNA, internal transcribed spacer 2, and large subunit ribosomal RNA". The stretch from base 1 to 120 matches the Rfam family "5.8S ribosomal RNA", at positions 35 to 154 of the family's 154-position model. The record is from RNAcentral.
GAUGAAGAACGUAGCGAAAUGCGAUAAGUAAUGUGAAUUGCAGAAUUCAGCGAAUCAUCGAAUCUUUGAACGCACAUUGCGCCCGCCAGUAUUCUGGCGGGCAUGCCUGUUCGAGCGUCAUUUCAACCAUCAAGCCCCAGGCUUGUGUUGGGGACCUGCGGCUGCCGCAGGCCCUGAAAACCAGUGGCGGGCUCGCUGUCACACCGGGCGUAGUAGAUUUUAUCUCGCUCAGGGCGUGCUGCGGGUCCCGGCCGUUAAAAGCCUUUUUUUACCCAAGGUUGACCUCGGAUCAGGUAGGAAGACCCGCUGAACUUAAGCAUAUCAAUAAGCGGAGGA